Molecule: ribosomal RNA, 253 nt
Filed under: uncultured bacterium
Lineage: Bacteria
Description: partial 16S ribosomal RNA
Rfam family: Bacterial small subunit ribosomal RNA
Source: RNAcentral
UACGUAGGGGGCAAGCGUUGUCCGGAAUCAUUGGGCGUAAAGAGCGCGUAGGCGGCCCUGUAAGUCCGCUGUGAAAGUCAAGGGCUCAACCCUUGAAUGCCGGUGGAUACUGCAGGGCUAGAGUCCGGAAGAGGCGAGUGGAAUUCCUGGUGUAGCGGUGAAAUGCGCAGAUAUCAGGAGGAACACCGAUGGCGAAGGCAGCUCGCUGGGACGGUACUGACGCUGAGGCGCGAAAGCUAGGGGAGCAAACGGG